GACGAACGCUGGCGGCGUGCUUAACACAUGCAAGUCGAACGGAAAGGCCCUGCUUUUGUGGGGUGCUCGAGUGGCGAACGGGUGAGUAACACGUGAGUAACCUGCCCUUGACUUUGGGAUAACUUCAGGAAACUGGGGCUAAUACCGGAUAGGAGCUCCUGCUGCAUGGUGGGGGUUGGAAAGUUUCGGCGGUUGGGGAUGGACUCGCGGCUUAUCAGCUUGUUGGUGGGGUAGUGGCUUACCAAGGCUUUGACGGGUAGCCGGCCUGAGAGGGUGACCGGCCACAUUGGGACUGAGAUACGGCCCAGACUCCUACGGGAGGCAGCAGUGGGGAAUAUUGCACAAUGGGCGGAAGCCUGAUGCAGCAACGCCGCGUGCGGGAUGGUGGCCUUCGGGUUGUAAACCGCUUUCGCCUGUGACGAAGCGUGAGUGACGGUAAUGGGUAAAGAAGCACCGGCUAACUAUGUG
This 468-nucleotide ribosomal RNA is filed under the name uncultured bacterium. RNAcentral describes it as "partial 16S ribosomal RNA". It matches the Rfam family "Bacterial small subunit ribosomal RNA", at positions 28 to 507 of the family's 1533-position model. The record is from RNAcentral.